Molecule: ribosomal RNA, 492 nt
Filed under: uncultured bacterium
Lineage: Bacteria
Description: partial 16S ribosomal RNA
Rfam family: Bacterial small subunit ribosomal RNA
Source: RNAcentral
AGUGAACGCUGGCGGUAGGCCUAACACAUGCAAGUCGAACGGCAGCACAGUAAGAGCUUGCUCUUACGGGUGGCGAGUGGCGGACGGGUGAGGAAUACAUCGGAAUCUACUUUUUCGUGGGGGAUAACGUAGGGAAACUUACGCUAAUACCGCAUACGACCUACGGGUGAAAGCAGGGGAUCUUCGGACCUUGCGCGAUUGAAUGAGCCGAUGUCGGAUUAGCUAGUUGGCGGGGUAAAGGCCCACCAAGGCGACGAUCCGUAGCUGGUCUGAGAGGAUGUUCAGCCACACUGGAACUGAGACACGGUCCAGACUCCUACGGGAGGCAGCAGUGGGGAAUAUUGGACAAUGGGCGCAAGCCUGAUCCAGCCAUACCGCGUGGGUGAAGAAGGCCUUCGGGUUGUAAAGCCCUUUUGUUGGGAAAGAAAAGCAGCAGGUUAAUACCCCGCUGUUCUGACGGUACCCAAAGAAUAAGCACCGGCUAACUUCGAG